GGUUAGGUCUGACCAGAGGACAGUUGUAGUGUGGUGAGGUCUGACCAGAGGACAGUUGUAGUGUGGUGAGGUCUGACCAGAGGACAGUUGUAGUGUGGUGAGGUCUGACCAGAGGACAGUUGUAGUGUGGUGAGGUCUGACCAGAGGACAGUUGUAGUGUGGUUAGGUCUGACCAGAGGACAGUUGUAGUGUGGUUAGGUCUGACCAGAGGACAGUUGUAGUGUGGUUAGGUCUGACCAGAGGACAGUUGUAGUGUGGUUAGGUCUGACCAGAGGACAGUUGUAGUGUGGUUAGGUCUGACCAGAGGACAGUGGUAGUGUGGUGAGGUCUGACCAGAGGACAGUUGUAGUGUUGGUGAGGUCUGACCAGAGGACAGUUGUAGUGUGGUUAGGUCUGACCAGAGGACAGUUGUAGUGUGGUUAGGUCUGACCAGAGGACAGUUGUAGUGUUGGUGAGGUCUGACCAGAGGACAGUUGUAGUGUGGUGAGGUCUGACCAGAGGACAGUUGUAGUGUUGGUGAGGUCUGACCAGAGGACAGUUGUAGUGUUGGUUAGGUCUGACCAGAGGACAGUUGUAGUGUGGUGAGGUCUGACCAGAGGACAGUUGUAGUGUUGGUGAGGUCUGACCAGAGGACAGUUGUAGUGUUGGUGAGGUCUGACCAGAGGACAGUUGUAGUGUUGGUGUUGUCGUCACAGUAGAGGUUGUUUGUCAUGUUUUUUUUUACAUGUUUCAUACACAUUCUUACAGUUUCUCAUUCAGGAGAAACAAACAGACAGAGGCUGGAAAACACACAGACAGACAGACACAGACAGACACAGACAGACACAGACAGACAGACACAGACAGACACAGACAGACACAGACAGACACAGACAGACAGACAGACACAGACAGACACAGACAGACACAGACAGACAGACAGACACAGACAGACACAGACAGACAGACAGACACAGACAGACACAGACAGACACAGACAGACACAGACAGACAGACACAGACAGACAGACACAGACAGACACAGACAGACACAGACAGACACAGACAGACAGACAGACACAGACAGACACAGACAGACACAGACAGACACAGACAGACACAGACAGACACAGACAGACACAGACAGACAGACACAGACAGACAGACACAGACAGACACAGACAGACACAGACAGACACAGACAGACACAGACAGACACAGACAGACAGACACAGACAGACACAGACAGACACAGACAGACAGACACAGACAGACACAGACAGACACAGACAGACAGACACAGACAGACACUGACAGACAGACAGACACUGACAGACAGACAGACACAGACAGACACAGACAGACACAG
Long non-coding RNA from Oncorhynchus keta (chum salmon), 1348 nucleotides. RefSeq lists it as uncharacterized. Lineage: Eukaryota; Metazoa; Chordata; Actinopteri; Salmoniformes; Salmonidae. The transcript is spliced from 6 exons. The record is from RefSeq and is a predicted model, not a curated record.